Long non-coding RNA from Solanum dulcamara, 298 nucleotides. RefSeq lists it as uncharacterized. The transcript is spliced from 3 exons. NCBI's taxonomy places the organism in Eukaryota, Viridiplantae, Streptophyta, Magnoliopsida, Solanales, Solanaceae. The record is from RefSeq and is a predicted model, not a curated record.
CUAGUUCAAACAGAGUCUCACCUAAUUUCAUCACUUGGUUUGUGUACUCAAGGAGAAUAUCCCUAUCACAAAUGCACAAUAAGCAAUAGACAAUAGUCAUUUGUCUGAAUUAUUUUGCUGCUAGAGAAAAAUGUUGUUAUAGAGAGGUUGUGAGCUGUACGGGCAAGGAGGUAGAAACUGAUUUUCGGCUAACGCUUCUACUCCUAUUGCUUUCCACAUCAGAUUGGAUAGAAGACUUACCUGCAGAAGAUCUGCAAUAUUUACAACAAGAGCACCAGGGGUAGGAGGGACAUCAACC